This 1267-nucleotide ribosomal RNA is filed under the name Salmonella enterica subsp. enterica serovar Enteritidis. Its description in RNAcentral is "partial 23S ribosomal RNA". It matches the Rfam family "Bacterial large subunit ribosomal RNA", at positions 1 to 1300 of the family's 2925-position model. Lineage: Bacteria; Pseudomonadati; Pseudomonadota; Gammaproteobacteria; Enterobacterales; Enterobacteriaceae. The record is from RNAcentral.
GGGUUGUGAGGUUAAGCGACUAAGCGUACACGGUGGAUGCCCUGGCAGUCAGAGGCGAUGAAGGGCGUGCUAAUCUGCGAUAAGCGCCGGUAAGGUGAUAUGAACCGUUAUAACCGGCGAUACCCGAAUGGGGAAACCCAGUGUGACUCGUCACACUAUCAUUAACUGAAUCCAUAGGUUAAUGAGGCGAACCGGGGGAACUGAAACAUCUAAGUACCCCGAGGAAAAGAAAUCAACCGAGAUUCCCCCAGUAGCGGCGAGCGAACGGGGAGGAGCCCAGAGCCUGAAUCAGCAUGUGUGUUAGUGGAAGCGUCUGGAAAGGCGCGCGAUACAGGGUGACAGCCCCGUACACAAAAGCGCAUGUGCUGUGAGCUCGAUGAGUAGGGCGGGACACGUGGUAUCCUGUCUGAAUAUGGGGGGACCAUCCUCCAAGGCUAAAUACUCCUGACUGACCGAUAGUGAACCAGUACCGUGAGGGAAAGGCGAAAAGAACCCCGGCGAGGGGAGUGAAAAAGAACCUGAAACCGUGUACGUACAAGCAGUGGGAGCACCCUUUGGGUGUGACUGCGUACCUUUUGUAUAAUGGGUCAGCGACUUAUAUUCUGUAGCAAGGUUAACCGAAUAGGGGAGCCGGAGGGAAACCGAGUCUUAAUUGGGCGUUAAGUUGCAGGGUAUAGACCCGAAACCCGGUGAUCUAGCCAUGGGCAGGUUGAAGGUUGGGUAACACUAACUGGAGGACCGAACCGACUAAUGUUGAAAAAUUAGCGGAUGACCUGUGGCUGGGGGUGAAAGGCCAAUCAAACCGGGAGAUAGCUGGUUCUCCCCGAAAGCUAUUUAGGUAGCGCCUCGUGAAUUCAUCUCCGGGGGUAGAGCACUGUUUCGGCUAGGGGGCCAUCCCGGCUUACCAACCCGAUGCAAACUGCGAAUACCGGAGAAUGUUAUCACGGGAGACACACGGCGGGUGCUAACGUCCGUCGUGAAGAGGGAAACAACCCAGACCGCCAGCUAAGGUCCCAAAGUCAUGGUUAAGUGGGAAACGAUGUGGGAAGGCCCAGACAGCCAGGAUGUUGGCUUAGAAGCAGCCAUCAUUUAAAGAAAGCGUAAUAGCUCACUGGUCGAGUCGGCCUGCGCGGAAGAUGUAACGGGGCUAAACCAUGCACCGAAGCUGCGGCAGCGACACUGUGUGUUGUUGGGUAGGGGAGCGUUCUGUAAGCCUGCGAAGGUGGCCUGUGAGGGUUGCUGGAGGUAUCAGAAGUGCGAAUGCUGA